UUAAAACAAACGUUCAACAAUGAUUCAUAUUCAACACGCUAUGUCCGACCAUUGAUCUUUACUUUGCGUACCAACGGUUUCUUAAGAUCAAUACAAAGAGCUAAGCGCGCAAACUUACCCCUCCUGGCAAAGUCUAUGUGAGUGUCUAGUUUCACAACCAGGCCAAUAGCUUGCCUGAUGGCACGAAGCAAAAAAUCGGAGUAAUAAUAGCCUUCUGGUAAACCUGGUAGUCUUAUCCAAUACAUCAAUU
This 250-nucleotide long non-coding RNA is filed under the name Gossypium barbadense (sea-island cotton). RNAcentral's name for it is "long non-coding RNA (GBAR_LNC011418)". The record is from RNAcentral. Lineage: Eukaryota; Viridiplantae; Streptophyta; Magnoliopsida; Malvales; Malvaceae.